AGUGCUCUGGCUGCAACAGUGUCACCCCAUUGCUUGCCUCGAUUGACUCGGCUGGUCUGACCGGCUAGGCAGCUGUCCCUCUCAAAGCUGUGCACUAGGAGGGACCUUCCCAGAAUAGACGAGAGGAGGACCUGUCUUGGAUCAAGGAUAGAGGAGUAGUGAGAACUUCCAAACAAGUUCUCGAGGUCCACCUGAACUCUUGCCCUUUAUGAGCUCAUCCACAGCAGAGCAAGGAAUGAGGUUUUGAGUGGCAGUGGUGGCCAACGCUUAGCCUC
This is an unclassified non-coding RNA of Mus spicilegus (steppe mouse), 275 nucleotides long. Its record names the gene 7SK. It matches the Rfam family "7SK RNA". From Rfam's summary of the family: 7SK was discovered as an abundant small nuclear RNA in the mid-70s but a possible function has only recently been suggested. Two independent studies have found that 7SK RNA binds the CDK9/cyclin T complex (known as elongation factor P-TEFb). Lineage: Eukaryota; Metazoa; Chordata; Mammalia; Rodentia; Muridae. The record is from Ensembl.